This is a long non-coding RNA of Manis javanica (Malayan pangolin), 1751 nucleotides long. RefSeq lists it as uncharacterized. NCBI's taxonomy places the organism in Eukaryota, Metazoa, Chordata, Mammalia, Pholidota, Manidae. The record is from RefSeq and is a predicted model, not a curated record.
UCCAAGCACUUGGCAUUGAUCAGCAAUCUUAGCAGUUCUGUGAGAACAGAGGUUACAGCUGUCACAGGAAGUCGAAACCAAGGCUGCGGAAAUCACACCCCUUCCGAGGCAGGUGAAAGUGUACACUGAGCAGAAUUCAGGCCCGGGGAGGUGGGGGUGGCAGAGCUGGCAGGUGGAGAAGGGCGGGAUGCUGUACAAGAGAAAAUACCCACAGGGAAGAAGAGUGGAUGUAUCCCUGGAACUCCGGGUUGAUUUAGAGACCUGCAGGGGCUUAUGGCUAAACCGCUGCAUCAGUUAGGGACUUCCCCUUCACUUUGGCUGAUGGCCAUCCUGGAACAUUGUGUGACUAGAGAAGCUGGAAUUUAGGACUUCUUGUGAAAUCUCCUGAUGUUUAAAUAUCGGCAAAUAAUUAAGCCACCCAGCUAGGUAUCAUGAGGAACCCAAAGAAGCUUCAUUUGGAGUCCGUGUCCUUAACAGCCUUAUAGUCCAUCUGGCUUCACAAGAUACACACCAAAGAAAAGGCAGAAAAGACGAGAGGGCGAAUUUGAGGGACAGAUCAAAGCUGGCACCACCCAGCUGACUUUUCAGACCUGGAAGGAUCUCUUCUUCUCAGCUGGGAUUACUUGGAAGGAUGUCAUUUUUGCCCAAGCAUUUCUUCUUUGCUACCACCUUUUGAUCCCUCGCUAUGUGCCAAGCACUGUACUAACUGUAUUAUGUCAUUCCCUCCUCUCGGCAACUCUGAGACAUUAGUCUCAGAGAUGAUAAGCAAUUUCCCAAGGUCACACAUUAUAUAUGGCAGAAGGGGGAUAGGAAAUUCUCCCAGGUCCCGUGUUUUUAGAUUCUUCUUAAGUAAAAAAGUUUUAAAAAUUAACUAUUUGCUCACUGUUGUUAAUCUUGCACAGAUCCUUUUGAAGAAAAUGGCAAUUGAGAACAAACACGCCCAACAUCACCAUGCUAUUUUUUACUCAGUGGGAAGGAGUGAACAGGCCCUGGUGUAUUGCUGGUGAGAGUGUAAAUAAGGUGACACUUUUCUGGAAAGCAGUCUGGCCAUUUGAAUCAAGAGCUUUAAAAAUUGUCUCUACCCUUUAAUGAGGAAAUGGGCACCCUCUAGGGAGAUAGCGAUAGCUAGCAACAUAAAAUGUAAAAGCUGUCUAUGUGAAAGACUCAUUCCCUGUGACCCACAAGUUCCACCUAAAGGAAACUGUUGUGCAGAUGGAUGUAAUAGCACAUGGUCAAAAAGGUAUAUUUGUAAGGGCAUUCAUUACUGCACUGCUCCUAUAGCAAAAGAUGGGGAAGAGCUUAAAAAGUAUCAAUAGAAUUGACGAAUUUAAUUAUAUGCAAUGUUUUGGAAAACGAGGCAGUUCUUGUUUUAUAUAUAGAACAAUCAUCAAGAAAUAUUAAGAGAGAAAACUGCAGAUGUAUCUGUUGUGCUACUGUUUCUGUAUGUAUAAGAAAUAUAUGUGUGUGUGUGUGUUUCUAUGAAAGAUAUACAAGAAACCAGGUAAUAAUAAUGUUGCCUUUGAGGAGGAAAACCACAGCUGAAGGACCAUGUCGGAGAAAGACAUUUGUUUCAUUGUGUGACCUUCAGUACCUUAUAUAUACACAUGGACAUAUAAGCAAUUCAAAAUUCAACUUUAAAAAAUAAAUUCACUAAAAUCCUACCUCUAGAUCCAGUAAUUCUCCUUUCAAGAAUCUAGCUGAAGGAACUGUUGGAUUUCAUACAAGGAUUAUACAAAAGGAUAUUCACUGAG